Acomys russatus (golden spiny mouse) is the source of this 132-nucleotide small nucleolar RNA. RefSeq annotates it as small nucleolar RNA SNORA17. NCBI's taxonomy places the organism in Eukaryota, Metazoa, Chordata, Mammalia, Rodentia, Muridae. The transcript has a single exon. The record is from RefSeq and is a predicted model, not a curated record.
CCUACUCCUUGAAGUGUUGCAGGUGUGGCUGCUAUGUCACAUGUGUGUCAGUAGAUGGCAGAGAGGAGAGAGGCUGUGUCUACACCGAGUGUCUUCACCUAAGAAUGUCUGAAUGAUUAGUAGCCUAACAUU